UGAACUAGCUCACCCUCAAAUGAUUGUGCCUCAUCUGAAAAAACAUAGGCAACAAGACAAAAGCUAAUUUCAGGACAAAUAGAGCAGUGCAAGGAUGGCUAAUGGCGCAUUGUCCCUUCAGGUUCUUCCACUGAUCCUUUUCUUAGGGAACACACAUUUGUGCACCUCCUGGUUCUCCCUGACCGACUUGCUGAAUGACGAGGCUGCCGAUGACUACGAGUACUAUGAUGAGCACACGCAGGCAGAGGAGGACCUCUUCCACCAGACACAGACCUUGGAGGACCCUGACUGGUUCGAGGAUUUCUUUGGCUACAGCGACACCCAGCAAGCUGAUCCAUGCUCCUCUGAUCCCUGCAAGAACAAUGGGCAAUGUGAGAAGAGAGGAAGCAGCUUCAGCUGUGUCUGCCCCAAGCCAUACACCGGGACUACCUGCGAGAAAGUGAGGGACAUGUGUCUGGAGAAGAGCUGCAUCAGAGGAGACUGCCUUGUUACACUAACCCCACCUUACUCUCAGUGCAGCUGCAGUCAUCCCUACAAGUUACCAGACUGCCACCGCGCAUCUUCACAAUGCAGGCCAAACCCGUGCAAGAAUGGAGGAACCUGCAUACGGCACAGAAACAGAUCAAAGUUCACCUGCAAGUGCCCUGAGCCAUUCAGAGGGAGGUUCUGUGAGAUUGGAUUGGAUGACUGUUAUGAAGAGGACUCCCUUGGGUACAGAGGAAAAGUGAACCAAGCAGAGAAUGGCAAGACCUGCCUGCACUGGAAUUCCCGUUUGCUCUUGGACCUCCCUAUUAAUGCAUUUAUGGAGGAUGCUGACUCUUAUGGCAUCGGUGAACAUAACUUCUGCAGGAAUCCUGAUGAGGAUCAAAAACCCUGGUGCUACAUCAGAAAAAAUAACGAAGUGGAGUGGGACUUCUGUGACAUUUCACCCUGCUCAGGAACAGCUCAGGAGAGCCAAUGGCCCACAGACAGCCUAGCAGACCCAAGUGGAACAAAUUCAAUAUUCAAAACAUGUGGACAACCAGAAGGUCAGAGGGCACUCAAGAGGAUCUAUGCUGGAGUUAAAACUACAGCUGGCAAACAUCCCUGGAUGGUGUCUCUGCAGAGAAAGACUUCAAGAAGAAACACACAUUUCUGUGGUGGAGUGCUAAUUAAAUCGUGCUGGGUUCUUACUGCUGGACACUGCCUUACAGAGCCAGCGGAAAAUCUCCAAGUGGUCCUUGGAAAGCAAGACCUCAGGAAGAGGGAACAUCAAGAGCAAAUAUUUGAUGUGGAGAAGAUCAUCGUACAUCACAAAUACAGUGAGAAGGGUGGUGUCCCACACAACGAUAUUGCAUUACUGAAGUUGAAACCAGUUGAUGGUCACUGUGCCGUGGAAUCAAAGUAUGUGAAAACAGCGUGUCUGCCUAACUUCCACUUUCCCGUUGGGACUGACUGCUUCAUUUCAGGAUGGGGUGCAACAGAGACAGAUGAUAUAUCCCAUCAGCUGCUAGAUGCCAAUGUCAAGCUGAUUUCACAGAAGCAAUGCAAUGCACCCAGAGCAUAUGAUCAGCUACUGGAUGAAAGCAUGUUUUGUGCAGGAAAUCUUCAGAGACCCAGAGCUGAUUCUUGUCAGGGAGAUUCUGGAGGCCCUCUAACUUGUGUAGAAAAUGGCUCCUACUAUGUAUAUGGCCUUGUAAGCUGGGGUGAUCAGUGUGGGUUAAAAAACAAGCCAGGAGUUUAUACGCAGGUGACAACAUUUCUCAGUUGGAUUAAAUCCAAAAUUCAGUCGGAGUCAAGAUCACUUCAGUAGGAGACAGCUCUGGAAUGGCAAAAGGUCAAUGGUGCCAAUAAUCCAGUAACGUGAAAAACUCCAAAGGAUUUCUGAAGCAUCAGGAUUGACUGUGACCUGCUGCGAUCCUUCUGCCCCCAGUUGGUCCUGUAAUAAGAUCAGACAACUAAAUAGUGAGAACAGCCAAUAGACAGGAGAAAGCUUUAACUUUUAUUCUGUAAAUAUAUUUACAAAUUAAAAGUUACCUCUACUGGAAACAACUGGACAAAAUCUGAAUUACUGCUCUGUACUGAGGACAUCUCUGCCGUGGAAAAGUGCAGAUAACUGACCCAUUCAUGUAAGUUAAAUGACACAUAUAUCCAAGGACAGAAUGUGCUCAAGGCCUAAUUUCUAAAUUGAGCCUUAAAUAAUGAGCACCCUAGCAAGUUCCAAGUGAAUUGCACACCUGUAGAUUUCCCUGGGCCCAUCAGAUCAUUACCUACGUAGGGCUUAAGAAGAUACUGCCUGCAUUGCUCAACCAUAGUUAUAAUUUAUUUCCUGAGAAGCUUUUCAGAGGGGAAUGUAAGUCAUGGGUAUGUCCUGUUUCUUUUGUGUUCGCUUAUUGUUUGACUUGUUGCCAAAGCUAAAACUUAAAUGAAACAAGUAUUUAAA
This is an RNA transcript of Oxyura jamaicensis (ruddy duck), 2422 nucleotides long. It is a transcript of the gene named hyaluronan binding protein 2, with no coding region annotated. The transcript is spliced from 15 exons. NCBI's taxonomy places the organism in Eukaryota, Metazoa, Chordata, Aves, Anseriformes, Anatidae. The record is from RefSeq and is a predicted model, not a curated record.